UUUUGAGUGUAUUGUAUAAAACAGCCACUCCAGCUCAAAACAGGGCUUAAGGCAAACGAUGUUUGGUAACAGGAAUCAAGCCAACUUGUGUCUCCUUAAAGGGAGGGAUCCGGAGGAGGUUUGGCUCAUGUAACCCCUUCACCUCUGAAUUAUUCCUUGACACAUACACACGAUAUCACAUCUGUAACUACAAGGGGCUGAGGGGUUAAGUAUCUUGUCACUCCAGCAUACACACCUCGCUUGCAAAUCCCAGACUUUCUACCAAACAUCCCCAGCAGGGGAAGGGGAUCCCUGCUGGCAAGCUGAAGUGAAAGCUGAGGGCUCUCUCAGCACCCCAGAAUAGUCUCUGAAUGCCAGCUGGUGUUGUCUAUGGGGAAAGAGGAGCAGGAAAGCACUGAGUAGAGGGUCCAAGGAGCUGGAACCUACUCUACAGCUUCUGUCACACAUGCAGAAGUGAUGAGUAAUGGCUGAAUUGCAGAGUUGUGUGAUAAAUGUUCAGUACUGUGCACAUUUGACCACCUCACCUGCACACUCUGCGUGUCCAUUUGACAACAUCAAGGCAGCAAGUGCACUGACAGCAUGGCCUUACUCUGCAGACCAAUGCUGUCACAUCAUUUUCAUCAGGAUCUCAGUGCUGGGAACACCCUUCCCACCCUUUUCUGCUCUUUUUGUUGUUGACCUCCUGGCUGGGAUGUGCAAUCUGUGGCAGAUUUGCUGAGUUGAAUGCAGUUAGGCUUCGGUCUACACGUUUUCCAUGCUCUUCUAUGUGGACUUGGUGAUCCUUGAGGAUCCCUUCCAACUCGGGAUAUUCUAUGAUCUCUGCUUUCUCAUAGCCAGCUUACUCAUUGUCUUCACCCAAGAACACCUUUAAUUUUUCUUAUUAACCUAAACAAAAUUGCACCCAGAUCAAUAGGAAGUUGCUCAUUAGCACUGACUACUUGGGACCAGCCCCUAAAAUGAAGGCUUCCCACUGCUGUCUUGCUGUACUAACAUUAACUACUUCAUUUCCACAAAGCUUGCAGGCAGAUGAGCUGAGAGGCAGGGGAGACCCUCAGGCCAUGCCCAGGAGCAUUGUAAUGAGGAGAAGGAGAACUUCUGUUUGCAGAUCUGUUACGCCUCCCCCCAACCCCUUUUCCUUCUGCCCCAGACACAGCCUUGGCUGCUUUGCAGUUGUUCAUAAACACCAUCUACAUCUGUCCUGAGCCACAAGAUGUAUUAAUCAAUUUGAUGAGGAUGUUAAAGCUUUCUCUUUACACCUAAUUAUGAACUGAUUUAUAGUACUGGCCUUGUGUUUGAUGGAGCUCUCCCCUUGGCAGUGAUUUACACGGCAUUGGCACCAACCUCUCCAUCUCUCCAAUACUCCAUCAUAUUCUCUGCCCCUCUUUCUCUGUCUCUCUCCCUUCUCCAUAUCCCCCCUCCUCCCCACACCUCUCUGCUCUAUGUUCCCUCAUGAGAGCCUAAUGACAUGUUGACAGACUGGUGAAACAUUGCUCCCUCUUCACUGCAUCUGUCUCUGGCUCAGUGGAUCCCCAGUGCUCUCUGACACGUCCAGAUGGAAGGCCUGGCAGGAGAGACAGAGGCUCUGGCCAUUGCCCCAGUGCAAGCUCUGCAGCUCCACAGAUUUCCUUCUGGAAGCAGUUGUUGCAGAGCUCUGGAUUCCCUUGAGGACAGGGAUCCACACUGACAGGGAUCUGUGGAUCUCUCCUACUGGUUCUCCUGGCUCCACUGAAAACUUCUGAUGAAGUCAUGAAAUAUCUGUGAUUCAGCCUUCUACCUGAUGACCCCCAGACUUCCACGCUGAGGGACAAGUUUUGUUUCCUUCCAGUACUAAUGAGGAAACUGAAUGAUGCACUGAGGGGUUACAUUUUGGAAAGGUGGAACUGAUAUUUUUGUCCUGCACUAGAUACUAACUAAAGGUUCCACUCUUGAAGCUAAUUGUGAAAGUGGAAGUCCCUUCCAUUCCCCUUUCCUUUCCCUUUCCCCUUCCCAUUUCCUCACUCAUGGCUACUGGUACCAAUGCAACUCCAGCCUCAUCCCCCACCUUCUUUAGUGCCUGCAAAUUGCAAAAUUCACUUUUCCAGGGGAAAUGUUGUCACCUUCUAUAUGUCAGCAAAGACGGAAGGCUGAGGAUAGAGGCAGUUCCUAAAGCUUUUUGUUUGUUUGCUAACUCUGAAUUUCCUAAAUUUACCUGCUUUCAUUUGGGAGAUCUAACUUGCCAGGAAAUGACACCAGGAUGCCUAUCUGAGCUAAAGAGAUGUGUGUAAAGUCUCCAGAAAAUGGAGAGAUGCUAGAUGACAAAGCCUGUAUCCACCCUCUGCUUUACAUCUGCACUCACCCCUCCCUGACUUGCACAUUCCCUUUCCCUUCAUGUAGCUGGCACCUUUGCACAGCAGGUGGUUUCUCCUCCAGCUGCCAGAUGUGCUGAGGAAAUGAGACGUUUUGUGUGUGCAAAAUCAGCUGCACGUUCACAGUGCACAGAUGUGUUCAGUAGUGUGUGCUGAAAUUAGCACAACUGUAUAGAAGGUGAAAACUGCCCUCAUGUUAUUGCAUUACUAAUCAUGUAAUGGCAAUAAAACUUCCAGUCCCUUCUUGUGGGAGAAGUUUCUUGUGGGAAGUUGUAGGCACAGCGCUUUUUUGCUUUGCUAAGACAAAAGUGGAGCCCAUUUAUGCUUUCCAGGAUUGAGUCGUCAAAAUUCUACUCACAUCCAGACUGACAACUUUGGAGCUACACCAAAGAUAAACUUCUCUGCUUGUAAUACCAAAGCAAUCAAGAGUCCAAAUACAGGUAGUAGGAUGUAACCAUACGUAUGCUAUAUACACUGCUGUUCAUGAAUCCACAUCUGCCUUGUGGAGACCAAAGCUUGAGAAGAUGCUCUUUGCACGCAGGUGUGCAUAUGUGCAAAACUAUGCGGAUACUUCAGCCUCCAGAUUGUGCACGUGUUCCACUGAACUCCACAAAAUGCAUAUUAAUGCUGCUGAAGCUGGAGCCCUGUCCAGAGAAGCAGAUGCUUAUCGAUGGCGAAGCUGGCCGUGCUAAACAGAUGAAAAGACAUCUCUGCUGCUGAGUGAAUUCCAUCAGACCAGGAGCAGCUGCUCGAAAGCUUCUGAAAGCAAAAAUCCUCAUGAAUAAAUAUUAGGAGGGAAAAAAUGAGGCUUCUGGAGAACAAAAGGAAGCAGAGGAAGUUACUGAGAGAUGCUGAGACCUUUCAUCUCGGCAAAAUAUGCAAUUAACAGAACACACACAUCUCCCCCAGAAAGGCCUUGCAUUUGUUCAGGGUAACUAUAGGAUCAGAGAUAAGGUUUCUUUUGGUGAACAAGCAGGACCAUAAUCUGCUAUUCCUCUGUCUGUCAACACAGGAGUGUGUGGCAUUCGUGAUUUCACAAAGUUACUGAGUCAGCCUCCUGGAAAUGCUCAGCAAUCAUUUGAUCUAAAGGGAGGCUGCUGCGAUUUCAGGUUCAGAAAUGUUUGGCAUUCCCUUGAAAGAAGUGCUCGUAUUUGAGGAUGGCCAUACCUUGGAGGAACAUUGCAUUCCUCUGUGCAUACAUCGGCUCAAAGUACUGUAGCAAAACUGGAGGAUCUGAUCUCCAGUAGCCCAGUGCUCCAGGUUACACCUGUGUGAUACAGAUGUCAAAUGCUGCCUGAUCAGCAUCCUGAACAAAGGGCAGUGACACUGCAAGGUGCAAUGCAAUGGAGGACCUGCAGCCUCAGCAUCUUUACGAGGUAUCUGACGAUCAGGUGAGGCAGAAGUGGCUUCAUCUCUUUGGGGAAACAAAGGGUGGGCUUAAAAGCAGAUGUGACUCACACGCUUUCUGUCCACACAGCCAUCUGUUAGGCCAGCUUUCACUCAGAUUCCGAGAUCUGCAGAGUAUUUAGAAAGAGCUGACCUUAGACUAUCUGCUAAUGGAUUGAGCUGUGGGACAGUUGGCCUCAUCUGUAUCCGAUUCCUUUGCAUUGCAUGAAGAAGAGAGUGGAUUCAUGCUAAGCUGAGGCUUUCCCCUUCCCAUGAGCUUUAGAGCUCAGGUUUAGGCAGCCUCCCAGCACGACCCUGAGGAUUUAAGCCACAUCUAGCAGGCACAAAGCUGUGCUGAGCUUGCAGUGAAACACAGAAUCUACUUUGUACCUAAAAGCUCAGAUCGUUUCAUCCAAUUACUUUCAAAUCCGUUGCUCACUUAUUAAUUCUUACGUUCACACCAGCCAAAUUCUUCAUUUCCACCAGCUCUGCCUGUUACUGUCAAUAGCCAAGAAAUAGCCCACCAAGGCCCCAUGGGAAGGCUGAAAUACCAAGGUGUCAAGGCUGAAUUUGCUCCCAUUUGUUUCAGGACACAGAACAAGAUGCCUUGAAGAACAUGUAAAUCCCACUAGCAGGCAGAUGUUCCUCUUGCAACCCCAUCUUCACACCCUGCAUGUACACACAGUCACCGGAGUCUCUUGGCUCCAAACCUGCAGAAAGUGCUUUCAAACGUCUUUCUUUUCCUGUCCCCCUCCCUAUAGCUCAUAUUGCUACCAGGAGGUGACGUGUCACUGCCUUGCUGCUUGUUACAACAGCUGUGAGGAGUAGCCAGCUUCCUCCUUCAUCAUUUGAUCCAUUUGAAACACUUCUUGGUGGCAACCUGGAAAUCUGUUUCUCUGCCUUGCACUGUUUUCACCCCUCGGAGCUAUCAAUUUAUUACAGGGAAGAGGGGAAAAAAAAAAAAAAAGAAAAAAAAGAAAAAAAAAGAAAGAUAACUACAGAUGGCUCACAGCUGGAGGAAAAAACAGACACAAAUUUCUGCUGGCUGCACUUUCAAUUGAGCCCAGGAUAAUUCCCUCCUUCUGUUUCUUCUGGGUGAAGAGAUGCAGUACCUUCUUUUCCUGUAUGCAGCAAUAGCCAGGCUGUCCUGUCACAAAACCAGUAACAGACUGAAGCAAUCAAAAACUCCAGGAUGACUUUGCAAAACAUAGCUAUUUUUGCCUUUUAUCCUUCUUUUUUUUUUUUUUAAUUUUUCUUCCUUUUUCUUUCUUUCUUUUUUCUUUCUCUUUUUUUUUUCCCUCUCUUCUUUUUUCCUUUCUCUCUUUUUUUUUUCUUUCUCUCUCUUCUUCCCCUUCCCAUUUUUGCACCCACAAGGAGCAGGUGCAAUUCAGUACCAACAGAUCUCCAUGUAUUCUGAAGCAAAUUGUGCAAUACAUCCCUCUCAAAAGAGUGACAGCUGAAUUCGUCCCAUCUCUCUGAAAUACCUUCCAUUCCCCAUUUGUGCCUGUCUCUUUUCUCCCCUCCCCUUUAUUUUCCCAUUAGAUAUGCAUUUGUGGCUUCUGGUCAAAAACAAUCUGAUAUAGAAUGCCAUCUUUAAAAAAGAAACAACUAACAGGUCCCAAAACACUGAUAUCUUCCACUAGACAAGGAUCCAGGUUUCGUGCAUGUGGAAUCCCUAACAUUAUCUGCUAUAUUCUCUUGGUGAGUCUGGUGCAUCUGGACUCACUCACUUAUCUGCUAGAUAUGAGGAGUCAUCUGAUUUACAAAACCUGGAGGAGGCACAAAGAAGAGCUAUAAAUUGAUCAAAGGUAUGGAGGGUCUUAGUAAUGCUGAUAGACCAAAGUGUUUAAUCUCAUGCAGUUUGGAGAAACUGAGAUUACGAGGUUGGACGUUGGCGAAGAAGAGGCUGUUCUUCCUCUCCCCAAAAGCAGAGCUGAGAGACAAGGGUAAGAAUGUGUUCAAACAGAGCAGGAACAGAGAAAUAUGCAGCUGCUUUGAGAGGUUAAAGUGAUACUGACAAAUAUUUUUACUCAGAAUGUAGGUUUGCUCAUGUAUUGUUUUCUGCCCCUGAAGAAGAUGGGAGAUAACUUCAGUUAUCCAGUGUGUGUCAGAGGGAAUCCCUCAUCUAUUUGCAUUAUACAGACAGUAGUAAUACUAUCACCAUGACAAGAAAUGUGAGGAAACCUUUCUUUUGGCACUUGUUCUUGGGGCUGGGUGUUUCUGCAUCCUCAUGGCUCCAGCUAAGCCCCUGAAACAGUUUCUUCUUAUCCAGAAACAAUAUAUAUUUCAUAUGACCUCUUCCACUCUUGGCCUUCCUGGUCCAGAAAUCUCCAGAGUUGGCUUUUGACCAUCAGGGACCAUUCCUGAUGGGUGGAUUGAGGACAUUCACUGGUUGGGAAUAAGAACUAGCCUGGUUUUAAUUUGAAUUAGACUGCUCUUGAUGAGAAGAGCUCAUGACCAGCUUUGGAUGCCUUCCCAUUUUCUCUCUUCUGGACCCUUUUUCUGGUAAUGCCAAACCCUUCUGGUUACACAUAGUUUCCAGUCUCUGUCUUCUUGUGUUGGUUCUCUAACCAUGGUCAACUGCAUUCAGCUGGCAUUGGGUUAGGGUUAGGGUUAGUAAGGUUAGGGUUAGGGUAGGGUUCAUGUUCUCUGUCAGCUCAGCAAUCCAAAUCAAAAGGACUCGAUGAAGCCAUUUGCUCCUUUUCCUUUUCUUACAUAAGAUGGUCCCUUACAAAGAGUUUGAAUGUUGUCCUUUUAAAUGCUUUUAAUAUUCCUCACAUUCACAUUUUAGCAGCAAGCUGUGCUGGUGGUGAAGCCUAAUGGAUAGGGCACUGGGCUGGAACUCAGCAGAUUUGGAUAUGUUUCCCAGCAGGGUUGCUGUGAUUCCUGCGCAGCUCACGAGAUUCUUUGUGCCAAGGACUCAGCAUUCCCUUUCUCCAGGGUGAGGCAAGAGAGAAUUCCUGCCGAGAGAUUGUUGACAGCCAUGCAGUCUCAAUGGGCAGAGGCGAAAAGUAUUUGAACCAUCCACACUUGGAAAGGCUCUGGACUGUUCUCCAACCUCUUGCCAAGCCUGCAAUCGUGUUUUGUCUGUAUAAAAGUGUGUGAGGCCAUUGGAUUCUCAGAAAAAUACUGACAAAAUCUGUGGUGGUUGAAUUUUAGGAUCCCAGAUUAUAGGUCUGUGCAGUCCAAAGAAGUGGAGCUGUUUUUCAUCUUGGAACUGAAUUUGAGACUACGAACUAAACAUUAUUCUUACAGCAGAGGAUGACAACAUAGCCAGUCUAAUCCUGCUUUACAUGGGCAUCCAAGCAUGGAACUGAAACAUGGAUUCUGUCCCAGUGGGUGACACAUACUCAGACAAUCAGAGGGACACAACAGCCUGGGCACUAGUCGUAGCUAUUAGAGCAGGAAAGAGGGAGUUUUGCGUACAAUAAUCACAGAAGACAGCCUGAAUGGAGUCCUGCCUUAAAAACCUGCUUCCAAUGGUCCCUUCCCAUCACCAUCACAGUGAUGGCACAUGUGCAGGUGGCAGUAAAUACCAAAAAUCAUACAGAAGUCAACAUUUGGCAGCUGCCUGGUGAAACCAAGGUCUUCAGGAUGGCCUGGAGAGUUAGGGUAAGAGACCACCUAUGUGUGUGUGCUACACAAUCAGGUAAUGGGACUGUUGGCUGCAUCACUAGCAGUGUAAUCCUGUUCCAUCAUCUCCAAAUACUGCAGGGGGAACACCAAAGGAGUAUGGGAAGGAUCCCAGUUUAAUCCAUUGAUGAAAGUAAGGAGGAAUAACGAGCAAUCUGCCUGUGGCAGUCCCUGCUUAAUUAGACUGCAGAUUUCUAUCUAGAUGGGUGGUAAACCUGCUAUGGCUGAGGGACAUAUUCACCCUGUUUAAAGUGCUUUCCUGGGCUUGGCUCUGAAUAGAGGAGCCAGGAACUCUGGCUUCAGACCAGUGUAAAUGCAAUAGAGACAAAAGGAAGAAACAAAACGUGUAGGAAAUCACGUAAAGCAGAGAUAAAGGACUAACACGUAGGUUUUAGGCAGAUCUUUGGAAGUUAUAAAACUACGUGAAUCUUAGGCGUGUGCCACAAUAUUGCUGAGAAAGCUGCACUUCAAUUAGCUCGAUCCUGAGCCCGUGAAAGCUGGCCCAGCUCCACCAGCCUCAAAGAAAAAUGGGGAAAAGUUUCUUUUCACGUAAGAAGUGGAAAGAUUGAAGUGUUUAACAAAGGGGCCUAGAAAGCUCCAAGCACUGGACAGUCUCCACCUGGUUGCAUUAAACCACUCGCUACAUUUUUCAAAAUCCACCCGUGCUUUAAUCUCUGCUCCAUUUCACAUUUCCUUGUGAUGUCGUCCAAAUAAAUGCACUCAUUGGCAAUAAGCUGAACAGUCACCACAAAGCCUAACAGGACCUUGAUGUGGCUUUUAAAAAACCCCAAACCCUUAACUGCUGAGGCUCACGGAUUUUUUCCCCCCAGCAGAUGUUACGGGGGGACCAAAGCUCUGCAAACGUUUGCAGACAUGGAUAAUGUUCAUCCUGAUGGUCUGAUUCUCAUUUACAUGAACUCUUCUACAAUGUGUGUGAAAGCAAUUCAUGUAAAGGGACUCGAGCAGAAAUGAAAAUCAGACUGCUUGUCUCCCCAGCCAGAUGAGGAUUGUAAAUAUAGUUAACUUGGCUUUCCUGACUGUAGUCCAAACCUCCUGAUCUUAACUUAUCUCAGUUAGUCUGUUACAAAUGUCAAAUUCUCUCUGGUUAUCCUGAUAGCUAAUAUGUACUGUAACAGCAUCUAGAAGCUGUUCUCCUGAGUCAGGACCUUAUAUUCAAGCACAGAAUAGCAAAAAGAUGUUUAGUUCAGACUGGUUCCUAUUUUGCAAGGUAAUACAACCUCGUCAGCCAAAGAUUGCGUUUGGAGAUUUCUUCCUCCCCUUUGAUCUACACUGAAACAGCAGCAAUGACAGCAGCAGCUUCAAGCUCUGAGCCUCAGGAAGCAGGACAACAUGGUGUAGUAUAGGAUACAUGAUAUUUUCAACCCUAUCUCAUCUUUCCUUGUGUGGAGGCAGCAACUCAAGCUCAGGAUGACAGUCUGUGUGCAGACAAGGGAAGAAGUCCUGUCCUGGCUGAACAUCUAAUUCUAUAUUCUUUCAAUGAAAAUAACAAUGAGCUGAUGGGAAGUAUUUCACUGUCUGGAUCACGUUGGUCACCAUUUGGUUGACUGGUCAAGAUGUAAGAUCAGAGUUUGGAAUAAAGCCAAGCUGAGAACAUC
Gallus gallus (chicken) is the source of this 8980-nucleotide long non-coding RNA. RefSeq lists it as uncharacterized. The transcript is spliced from 2 exons. NCBI's taxonomy places the organism in Eukaryota, Metazoa, Chordata, Aves, Galliformes, Phasianidae. The record is from RefSeq and is a predicted model, not a curated record.